This 643-nucleotide ribosomal RNA is filed under the name Trichoderma harzianum. RNAcentral's name for it is "eukaryotic LSU rRNA". The stretch from base 257 to 410 matches the Rfam family "5.8S ribosomal RNA". The record is from RNAcentral. Lineage: Eukaryota; Fungi; Ascomycota; Sordariomycetes; Hypocreales; Hypocreaceae.
GGAAGUAAAAGUCGUAACAAGGUCUCCGUUGGUGAACCAGCGGAGGGAUCAUUACCGAGUUUACAACUCCCAAACCCAAUGUGAACGUUACCAAACUGUUGCCUCGGCGGGAUCUCUGCCCCGGGUGCGUCGCAGCCCCGGACCAAGGCGCCCGCCGGAGGACCAACCAAAACUCUUAUUGUAUACCCCCUCGCGGGUUUUUUUUAUAAUCUGAGCCUUCUCGGCGCCUCUCGUAGGCGUUUCGAAAAUGAAUCAAAACUUUCAACAACGGAUCUCUUGGUUCUGGCAUCGAUGAAGAACGCAGCGAAAUGUGAUAAGUAAUGUGAAUUGCAGAAUUCAGUGAAUCAUCGAAUCUUUGAACGCACAUUGCGCCCGCCAGUAUUCUGGCGGGCAUGCCUGUCCGAGCGUCAUUUCAACCCUCGAACCCCUCCGGGGGGUCGGCGUUGGGGAUCGGCCCUGCCUUGGCGGUGGCCGUCUCCGAAAUACAGUGGCGGUCUCGCCGCAGCCUCUCCUGCGCAGUAGUUUGCACACUCGCAUCGGGAGCGCGGCGCGUCCACAGCCGUUAAACACCCAACUUCUGAAAUGUUGACCUCGGAUCAGGUAGGAAUACCCGCUGAACUUAAGCAUAUCAAUAAGCGGAGGA